This 119-nucleotide ribosomal RNA is filed under the name Salarias fasciatus (jewelled blenny). The record is from RNAcentral. Lineage: Eukaryota; Metazoa; Chordata; Actinopteri; Blenniiformes; Blenniidae.
GCUUACGGCCAUACUACCCUGAAAAUGCCCGAUCUCGUCUGAUCUCGGAAGCCAAGCAGGGUCAGGCCUGGUCAGUAAUUGGAUGGGAGACCGCCUGGGAAUACCAGGUGCCGUAAGCU